This 70-nucleotide transfer RNA is filed under the name Edolisoma coerulescens. RNAcentral describes it as "tRNA-His". It matches the Rfam family "tRNA". From Rfam's summary of the family: Transfer RNA (tRNA) molecules are approximately 80 nucleotides in length. Their secondary structure includes four short double-helical elements and three loops (D, anti-codon, and T loops). Further hydrogen bonds mediate the characteristic L-shaped molecular structure. tRNAs have two regions of fundamental functional importance: the anti-codon, which is responsible for specific mRNA codon recognition, and the 3' end, to which the tRNAs corresponding amino acid is attached (by aminoacyl-tRNA synthetases). tRNAs cope with the degeneracy of the genetic code in two manners: having more than one tRNA (with a specific anti-codon) for a particular amino acid; and 'wobble' base-pairing, i.e. permitting non-standard base-pairing at the 3rd anti-codon position. Lineage: Eukaryota; Metazoa; Chordata; Aves; Passeriformes; Campephagidae. The record is from RNAcentral.
GCAAGUAUAGUUUCAACUAAAACAUUAGAUUGUGAUUCUAAAAAUAGAAGUUAAACCCUUCUUACUCGCU